GACGAACGCUGGCGGCGUGCUUAACACAUGCAAGUCGAACGGAAAGGCCCUGCUUUUGUGGGGUGCUCGAGUGGCGAACGGGUGAGUAACACGUGAGUAACCUGCCCUUGACUUUGGGAUAACUUCAGGAAACUGGGGCUAAUACCGGAUAGGAGCUCCUGCUACAUGGUGGGGGUUGGAAAGUUUCGGCGGUUGGGGAUGGACUCGCGGCUUAUCAGCUUGUUGGUGGGGUAGUGGCUUACCAAGGCUUUGACGGGUAGCCGGCCUGAGAGGGUGACCGGCCACAUUGGGACUGAGAUACGGCCCAGACUCCUACGGGAGGCAGCAGUGGGGAAUAUUGCACAAUGGGCGGAAGCCUGAUGCAGCAACGCCGCGUGCGGGAUGACGGCCUUUGGGUUGUAAACCGCUUUCGCCUGUGACGAAGCGUGAGUGACGGUAAUGGGUAAAGAAGCACCGGCUAACUACGUG
RNAcentral lists this ribosomal RNA (468 nucleotides) under uncultured bacterium. Its description in RNAcentral is "partial 16S ribosomal RNA". It matches the Rfam family "Bacterial small subunit ribosomal RNA", at positions 28 to 507 of the family's 1533-position model. The record is from RNAcentral.